Non-coding RNA from Gossypium hirsutum (cotton), 489 nucleotides. The record is from Rfam. NCBI's taxonomy places the organism in Eukaryota, Viridiplantae, Streptophyta, Magnoliopsida, Malvales, Malvaceae.
AAAGAAAUUGAGAUGGAAGAAUGAAAAAGCUUCCUACGUUGCAUUCUUUGACCCUAAUUUACCAGGUUCAGACAUAGUAAAGAUUGACAGACUGAGAGCUCUUUCUUAAUUCUAUAGGUGAUGGUGCAUGGUCGUUCUUAGUUGCUGGAGCUAUUUGUCUAGUUAAUUUCAUUAAUGAACAAGACCUCAACCUACUAACUAGCUACACAGAGGCGAUUCUCUAUGGCUAGCUUCAUAGAGGGACUAUGGCCUUUUAGGCUUAGGAAGUUUGAGGUAAUAAUAGGUCUGUGACGCCUUUAGAUGUUCUAGGUCAUACGCGUGCUAUACUAAUGUAUUCAACGAGUCUAUAGCCUUGGCCGACAAGCCCAAGUAAUCAUUGAAAUUUCAUCGUGAUGGGGAUAUAUCAUUGCAAUUGUUGGUCUUCAAUGAGGAAUUCCUAGUAAGUGCGAGUCAUAAGCUCGCAUUGACUACGUCCCUACCCUUUGUACA